RNAcentral lists this ribosomal RNA (253 nucleotides) under uncultured bacterium. RNAcentral describes it as "partial 16S ribosomal RNA". It matches the Rfam family "Archaeal small subunit ribosomal RNA", at positions 474 to 727 of the family's 1478-position model. The record is from RNAcentral.
UACCAGCACCCCGAGUGGUCGGGACGUUUAUUGGGCCUAAAGCAUCCGUAGCCGGUUCUACAAGUCUUCCGUUAAAUCCAGCUGCUUAACAGAUGGGCUGCGGAAGAUACUAUAGAGCUAGGAGGCGGGAGAGGCAAGCGGUACUCGAUGGGUAGGGGUAAAAUCCGUUGAUCCAUUGAAGACCACCAGUGGCGAAGGCGGCUUGCCAGAACGCGCUCGACGGUGAGGGAUGAAAGCUGGGGGAGCAAACCGG